Molecule: ribosomal RNA, 504 nt
Filed under: uncultured bacterium
Lineage: Bacteria
Description: partial 16S ribosomal RNA
Rfam family: Bacterial small subunit ribosomal RNA
Source: RNAcentral
AUUGAACGCUGGCGGCACGCUUAACACAUGCAAGUCGAGCGGUAGCAUGUUUAGUAGCAAUACUAGAUGAUGACGAGCGGCGGACGGGUGAGUAACACGUAGGAACUUGCCCAAUAGAGGGGGACAACCAAGGGAAACUUUGGCUAAUACCGCAUAUACUCGGAAGAGGAAAGCUGCCUGCAAGGGUGGCGCUAUUGGAUAGGCCUGCGGCUGAUUAGCUAGUUGGUGAGGUAAUGGCUCACCAAGGCUGGGAUCAGUAACUGGUCUGAGAGGACGACCAGUCACACUGGGACUGAGACACGGCCCAGACUCCUACGGGAGGCAGCAGUGGGGAAUCUUGGACAAUGGGGGCAACCCUGAUCCAGCGAUGCCGCGUGAGUGAAGAAGGCCUUCGGGUCGUAAAGCUCUUUAGGUUGGGAGGAAGGUUGGUAGUUUAAGAGAUAACUAACUUGACUGUACUAACAGAAUAAGCACCGGCAAACUCUGUGCCAGCAGCCGCAGUAA